UUUUUCUGUCUCCAUCCACUAAAGGUUGUAUGUUUAUGAGUUAUAAUAUUCUUGGAAGAAAGGAACAACUCAACUAUUGGUGUUUGCAUGAGUUGGGGUUACCAUACGCUAACAAAAAGCCUUGUCAUGUGAAAUGUCUCUUUCUAAACCUGAGUAUUGUUUUACAGAUGAUGAAGCUGUGACAUUUGCUGAGCAAGAGUAUGUGAUAACAAAUGCAGGGAUUACCUACUGCAAAUCAAAGUUUCAGUUGACGGAAUGUGAUUAUCAGAAGGCAAGAGACUAUUUAAUAAAAACUUAAGCAAAAGCAAAGUCCUAGAUGAAGAUAUAAUGAUCCAGUGUUUCAAUUGUAGGAUCAAAGAAUUUAAUGAUUUUACAAAACUUUUAAUUGAAAUUAGAAGAUAAUAAAGUUAUUAAAUAAUUUUGUAUUCAGAUAUAAUAAUUCUCACAUACCCCAUACCUAUAAUACAAAGGAACAGAAAUAAGAAACAUACAGGGAUUUUUUUUUUAAUAACAAAUACAGGAAUUACCUACUGCAAAUCGAAGUUUUAGUUGAAAGAAUGUAAUUAUCAGAAGGUUAGAGACUAUUUAAUGAAAACUUAAGCAAAAGCAAAGUUCCAGAUGAAGGUAUAAUAACACAUUUUUUCUUUGAAUAAUAAAUGAAUUAUCCUUUUCUAAAAGUAAAAUAUAGUUUGUUAGUAGUGGUUAAUCACCUUUUAAUGUUAAAUUUUCUCUUGAAUAGAUAACCUCAUCUCUCUCCCAAAUUUAUAAAAUACAAUCAAUCAUAUAGAAUAAAGUCAUAUGUAUAAAAAAUAAAAAAAAAUAUUAAUUAAUUAUCAUAUUUUAAAAAUUAACACAUCUAUUUAUUAAAAUAUAUAUAUAUAUCAUUUAUUAUUAAAUUAUUGUCCUACGUAGAAUUGCUUCCCUAGUGCAACGGGUCUCUCUCUCUGUUGCAUUGCAUGUCUGAUCCCUUAACAUGGCCAAGGCAUGAAUUUAUUCAAAUAUAGAAAAUAAAAAAAAAAAAAUCUAAAACUAGGAAACUGUCCACCUGGCAUAUUGCCGUAUCCUCUCCCCUUCAUUUCCCAGCUUCAUCAAACUCUCAAUUCUCUAUUCUCUAUCUCUAUCUCACCCAACGGAGUAUAGAGGCGCCCCACGACACAGAGGGAGAGGGAGAGGGAGAGAGAGACAUUCUUGGAAGAUGAAGAUAUAUACAAAGCCCAUAUCCAGCCCGGGUCGGACCGAGAAUUAUCCGCCACCAUUGANN
This 1261-nucleotide long non-coding RNA is filed under the name Manihot esculenta (cassava). Its description in RNAcentral is "long non-coding RNA (MESC_LNC012612)". The record is from RNAcentral. Lineage: Eukaryota; Viridiplantae; Streptophyta; Magnoliopsida; Malpighiales; Euphorbiaceae.